This 2903-nucleotide ribosomal RNA is filed under the name Escherichia coli. RNAcentral's name for it is "23S ribosomal RNA". It matches the Rfam family "Bacterial large subunit ribosomal RNA". Lineage: Bacteria; Pseudomonadati; Pseudomonadota; Gammaproteobacteria; Enterobacterales; Enterobacteriaceae. RNAcentral also lists the same sequence under 1 other name. The record is from RNAcentral.
GGUUAAGCGACUAAGCGUACACGGUGGAUGCCCUGGCAGUCAGAGGCGAUGAAGGACGUGCUAAUCUGCGAUAAGCGUCGGUAAGGUGAUAUGAACCGUUAUAACCGGCGAUUUCCGAAUGGGGAAACCCAGUGUGAUUCGUCACACUAUCAUUAACUGAAUCCAUAGGUUAAUGAGGCGAACCGGGGGAACUGAAACAUCUAAGUACCCCGAGGAAAAGAAAUCAACCGAGAUUCCCCCAGUAGCGGCGAGCGAACGGGGAGCAGCCCAGAGCCUGAAUCAGUGUGUGUGUUAGUGGAAGCGUCUGGAAAGGCGUGCGAUACAGGGUGACAGCCCCGUACACAAAAAUGCACAUGCUGUGAGCUCGAUGAGUAGGGCGGGACACGUGGUAUCCUGUCUGAAUAUGGGGGGACCAUCCUCCAAGGCUAAAUACUCCUGACUGACCGAUAGUGAACCAGUACCGUGAGGGAAAGGCGAAAAGAACCCCGGCGAGGGGAGUGAAAAAGAACCUGAAACCGUGUACGUACAAGCAGUGGGAGCACGCUUAGGCGUGUGACUGCGUACCUUUUGUAUAAUGGGUCAGCGACUUAUAUUCUGUAGCAAGGUUAACCGAAUAGGGGAGCCGAAGGGAAACCGAGUCUUAACUGGGCGUUAAGUUGCAGGGUAUAGACCCGAAACCCGGUGAUCUAGCCAUGGGCAGGUUGAAGGUUGGGUAACACUAACUGGAGGACCGAACCGACUAAUGUUGAAAAAUUAGCGGAUGACUUGUGGCUGGGGGUGAAAGGCCAAUCAAACCGGGAGAUAGCUGGUUCUCCCCGAAAGCUAUUUAGGUAGCGCCUCGUGAAUUCAUCUCCGGGGGUAGAGCACUGUUUCGGCAAGGGGGUCAUCCCGACUUACCAACCCGAUGCAAACUGCGAAUACCGGAGAAUGUUAUCACGGGAGACACACGGCGGGUGCUAACGUCCGUCGUGAAGAGGGAAACAACCCAGACCGCCAGCUAAGGUCCCAAAGUCAUGGUUAAGUGGGAAACGAUGUGGGAAGGCCCAGACAGCCAGGAUGUUGGCUUAGAAGCAGCCAUCAUUUAAAGAAAGCGUAAUAGCUCACUGGUCGAGUCGGCCUGCGCGGAAGAUGUAACGGGGCUAAACCAUGCACCGAAGCUGCGGCAGCGACACUAUGUGUUGUUGGGUAGGGGAGCGUUCUGUAAGCCUGUGAAGGUGUACUGUGAGGUAUGCUGGAGGUAUCAGAAGUGCGAAUGCUGACAUAAGUAACGAUAAAGCGGGUGAAAAGCCCGCUCGCCGGAAGACCAAGGGUUCCUGUCCAACGUUAAUCGGGGCAGGGUGAGUCGACCCCUAAGGCGAGGCCGAAAGGCGUAGUCGAUGGGAAACAGGUUAAUAUUCCUGUACUUGGUGUUACUGCGAAGGGGGGACGGAGAAGGCUAUGUUGGCCGGGCGACGGUUGUCCCGGUUUAAGCGUGUAGGCUGGUUUUCCAGGCAAAUCCGGAAAAUCAAGGCUGAGGCGUGAUGACGAGGCACUACGGUGCUGAAGCAACAAAUGCCCUGCUUCCAGGAAAAGCCUCUAAGCAUCAGGUAACAUCAAAUCGUACCCCAAACCGACACAGGUGGUCAGGUAGAGAAUACCAAGGCGCUUGAGAGAACUCGGGUGAAGGAACUAGGCAAAAUGGUGCCGUAACUUCGGGAGAAGGCACGCUGAUAUGUAGGUGAAGUCCCUCGCGGAUGGAGCUGAAAUCAGUCGAAGAUACCAGCUGGCUGCAACUGUUUAUUAAAAACACAGCACUGUGCAAACACGAAAGUGGACGUAUACGGUGUGACGCCUGCCCGGUGCCGGAAGGUUAAUUGAUGGGGUCAGCGCAAGCGAAGCUCUUGAUCGAAGCCCCGGUAAACGGCGGCCGUAACUAUAACGGUCCUAAGGUAGCGAAAUUCCUUGUCGGGUAAGUUCCGACCUGCACGAAUGGCGUAAUGAUGGCCAGGCUGUCUCCACCCGAGACUCAGUGAAAUUGAACUCGCUGUGAAGAUGCAGUGUACCCGCGGCAAGACGGAAAGACCCCGUGAACCUUUACUAUAGCUUGACACUGAACAUUGAGCCUUGAUGUGUAGGAUAGGUGGGAGGCUUUGAAGUGUGGACGCCAGUCUGCAUGGAGCCGACCUUGAAAUACCACCCUUUAAUGUUUGAUGUUCUAACGUUGACCCGUGAUCCGGGUUGCGGACAGUGUCUGGUGGGUAGUUUGACUGGGGCGGUCUCCUCCUAAAGAGUAACGGAGGAGCACGAAGGUUGGCUAAUCCUGGUCGGACAUCAGGAGGUUAGUGCAAUGGCAUAAGCCAGCUUGACUGCGAGCGUGACGGCGCGAGCAGGUGCGAAAGCAGGUCAUAGUGAUCCGGUGGUUCUGAAUGGAAGGGCCAUCGCUCAACGGAUAAAAGGUACUCCGGGGAUAACAGGCUGAUACCGCCCAAGAGUUCAUAUCGACGGCGGUGUUUGGCACCUCGAUGUCGGCUCAUCACAUCCUGGGGCUGAAGUAGGUCCCAAGGGUAUGGCUGUUCGCCAUUUAAAGUGGUACGCGAGCUGGGUUUAGAACGUCGUGAGACAGUUCGGUCCCUAUCUGCCGUGGGCGCUGGAGAACUGAGGGGGGCUGCUCCUAGUACGAGAGGACCGGAGUGGACGCAUCACUGGUGUUCGGGUUGUCAUGCCAAUGGCACUGCCCGGUAGCUAAAUGCGGAAGAGAUAAGUGCUGAAAGCAUCUAAGCACGAAACUUGCCCCGAGAUGAGUUCUCCCUGACUCCUUGAGAGUCCUGAAGGAACGUUGAAGACGACGACGUUGAUAGGCCGGAUGUGUAAGCGCAGCGAUGCGUUGAGCUAACCGGUACUAAUGAACCGUGAGGCUUAACCUU